CUUCUUAAUACUAUACUCAGUGAUUCUCAACCUGCGCGUUUACAACAUUGAAAGCAGGAGCCGUGAAGGAGUGGGUAUUAUGAUCUGAAACAACAGGACGUGUGCUCCCUGCUAUUCAGCACCGGACUGCCAGGGAAUAGAUAUAGGAUACCACUGGACCACCAGGGUCAUUUGUGACCAAGCACUAGAAUGACGGGGCGCUGCAGGGAAGAGUGUCACAGCUCGGAACACGG
Pelobates cultripes (western spadefoot toad) is the source of this 233-nucleotide non-coding RNA. The record is from the annotation of a GenBank genome assembly. NCBI's taxonomy places the organism in Eukaryota, Metazoa, Chordata, Amphibia, Anura, Pelobatidae.